UCUGGAGAUCUCGAGUAAGCGCAGCGCUUCGGUGUCUGCGUCGAAAGAGUCUCAGAAGUCGCCCGCACCUAUCUCACUCACCUCACUUCUCCUGCUCUUUGACAAUCGAUGAUGGAUGGUGUGUGGACGAGCUCGUCAGAGCUGGUCCAGUGUGAGGGAAUCAACACCGGUGUCUCACGCGCAUCGCGUGCGUGAGAGACACGAAUUUGAGAUCAAACGCAAUAAGGCACACGGUGGAUGCCUUGGCAUCGAGAGGCGAUGAAGGACGUGCUAAGCUGCGAUAAGCCUGGGGGAGUCGCACAGAGACCGUGAUCCCAGGAUGU
RNAcentral lists this unclassified non-coding RNA (323 nucleotides) under uncultured Gemmatimonadota bacterium. RNAcentral's name for it is "uncultured Gemmatimonadetes bacterium partial contains 16S ribosomal RNA, 16S-23S ribosomal RNA intergenic spacer, and 23S ribosomal RNA". The stretch from base 211 to 323 matches the Rfam family "Bacterial large subunit ribosomal RNA", at positions 1 to 113 of the family's 2925-position model. Lineage: Bacteria; Pseudomonadati; Gemmatimonadota. The record is from RNAcentral.